RNAcentral lists this ribosomal RNA (205 nucleotides) under uncultured bacterium. RNAcentral's name for it is "partial 16S ribosomal RNA". It matches the Rfam family "Bacterial small subunit ribosomal RNA", at positions 1288 to 1500 of the family's 1533-position model. The record is from RNAcentral.
UCAGUUCGGAUCGGAGUCUGCAACCCGACUCCAUGAAGCUGGAUUCGCUAGUAAUCGCGCAUCAGCCACGGCGCGGUGAAUACGUUCCCGGGCCUUGUACACACCGCCCGUCAAGCCAUGGAAGCCGGGGGUGCCUGAAGUGCGCUGCCGCGAGGAGCGCCCUAGGGUAAAACCGGUGACUGGGGCUAAGUCGUAACAAGGUAAC